This 495-nucleotide ribosomal RNA is filed under the name uncultured bacterium. RNAcentral's name for it is "partial 16S ribosomal RNA". It matches the Rfam family "Bacterial small subunit ribosomal RNA", at positions 28 to 507 of the family's 1533-position model. The record is from RNAcentral.
GACGAACGCUGGCGGCGUGCCUAAUACAUGCAAGUAGAACGCUGAAGGAGGAGCUUGCUUCUCUGGAUGAGUUGCGAACGGGUGAGUAACGCGUAGGUAACCUGCCUGGUAGCGGGGGAUAACUAUUGGAAACGAUAGCUAAUACCGCAUAAGAGUAGAUGUCGCAUGACAUUUGCUUAAAAGGUGCAAUUGCAUCACUACCAGAUGGACCUGCGUUGUAUUAGCUAGUUGGUGAGGUAACGGCUCACCAAGGCAACGAUACAUAGCCGACCUGAGAGGGUGAUCGGCCACACUGGGACUGGGACACGGCCCAGACUCCUACGGGAGGCAGCAGUAGGGAAUCUUCGGCAAUGGACGGAAGUCUGACCGAGCAACGCCGCGUGAGUGAAGAAGGUUUUCGGAUCGGAAAGCUCUGUUGUAAGAGAAGAACGAGUGUGAGAGUGGAAAGUUCACACUGUGACGGUAUCUUACCAGAAAGGGACGGCUAACUACGUG